Molecule: ribosomal RNA, 524 nt
Filed under: uncultured bacterium
Lineage: Bacteria
Description: bacterial SSU rRNA
Rfam family: Bacterial small subunit ribosomal RNA
Source: RNAcentral
AAUAGAUACCCAGGUAGUCCACGCCGUAAACGAUGGAUACUAGCUGUUCGUCCGCCUCGGCGGAUGAGUGGCUAAGCGAAAGUGAUAAGUAUCCCACCUGGGGAGUACGAACGCAAGUUUGAAACUCAAAGGAAUUGACGGGGGCCCGCACAAGCGGUGGAGCAUGUGGUUUAAUUCGAUGAUACGCGAGGAACCUUACCAAGGCUUAAAUGUAGAUUGACAGGACUGGAAACAGUUUUUCUUCGGACAAUUUACAAGGUGCUGCAUGGUUGUCGUCAGCUCGUGCCGUGAGGUGUCAGGUUAAGUCCUAUAACGAGCGCAACCCCUGUUGUUAGUUGCCAGCGAGUGAUGUCGGGAACCCUAACAAGACUGCCAGUGUAAACUGUGAGGAAGGUGGGGAUGACGUCAAAUCAUCACGGCCCUUACGCCUUGGGCUACACACGUGCUACAAUGGCCGGUACAGAGAGCAGCCACUGCGCGAGCAGGAGCGAAUCUAUAAAACCGGUCACAGUUCGGAUCGGAGU